UCUCACUCCUCACUGCUAUCUCCUCACUGCUCUCACUCCUCACUGCUCUCACUCCUCACUGCUCUCACUCCUCACUGCUCUCACUCCUCACUGCUAUCUCCUCACUGCUCUCACUCCUCACUGCUCUCACUCCUCACUGAUCUCACUCCUCACUGCUCUCUCUCUCCUCACUGCUCUCACUCCACACUGCUCUCACUCCUCACUGCUCUCUCUCUCCUCACUGCUCUCUAUCUCCUCACUGCUCUCACCCCUCACUGCUCUCACUCCACACUGCUCUCACUCCUCACUGCUCACUGCUCUCUCACUCCUCACUGCUCUCACUCCUCACUGCUCUCACUCCUCACUGCUCUCACUCCUCACUGCUCUCUCUCUCCUCACUGCUCUCUAUCUCCUCACUGCUCUCACUCCUCACUGCUCUCUCUCUCCUCACUGCUCUCACUCCACACUGCUCUCACUCCUCACUGCUCUCUCUCUCCUCACUGCUCUCUAUCUCCUCACUGCUCUCACCCCUCACUGCUCUCACUCCUCACUGCUCUCACUCCUCACUGCUCUCACUCCACACUGCUCUCACUCCUCACUGCUCUCUCACUCCUCACUGCUCUCACUCCUCACUGCUCUCACUCCACACUGCUCUCACUCCUCACUGCUCUCUCACUCCUCACUGCUCUCACUCCUCACUGCUCUCACUCCUCACUGCUCUCACUCCACACUGCUCUCACUCCUCACUGCUCUCUCACUCCUCACUGCUCUCUAUCUCCUCACUGCUCUCACUCCACACUGCUCUCACUCCUCACUGCUCUCUCACUCCUCACUGCUCUCUAUCUCCUCACUGCUCUCACUCCUCACUGCUCUCUCUCCUCACUGCUCUCACUCCUCACUGCUCUCACUCCUCACUGCUCUCACUCCUCACUGCUCUCACUCCUCACUGCUCUCUCACUCCUCACUGCUCUCACUCCUCACUGCUCUCACUCCACACUGCUCUCACUCCUCACUGCUCUCUCACUCCUCACUGCUCUCACUCCUCACUGCUCUCACUCCUCACUGCUCUCACUCCUCACUGCUCUCACUCCUCACUGCUCUCACUCCACACUGCUCUCACUCCUCACUGCUCUCUCACUCCUCACUGCUCUCACUCCUCACUGCUGUCACUCCACACUGCUCUCACUCCUCACUGCUCUCUCACUCCUCACUGCUCUCACUCCUCACUGCUCUCACUCCACACUGCUCUCACUCCUCACUGCUCUCUCACUCCUCACUGCUCUGACUGCUCACUGCUCUCACUCCACACUGCUCUCACUCCUCACUGCUCUCACUCCUCACUGCUCUCACUCCUCACUGCUCUCUCUCCUCACUGCUCUCACUCCUCACUGCUCUCUCACUCCUCACUGCUCUCACUCCUCACUGCUCUCACUCCACACUGCUCUCACUCCUCACUGCUCUCUCACUCCUCACUGCUCUCACUCCUCACUGCUCUCACUCCUCACUGCUCUCACUCCUCACUGCUCUCACUCCUCACUGCUCUCACUCCACACUGCUCUCACUCCUCACUGCUCUCUCACUCCUCACUGCUCUCACUCCUCACUGCUGUCACUCCACACUGCUCUCACUCCUCACUGCUCUCUCACUCCUCACUGCUCUGACUCCUCACUGCUCUCACUCCACACUGCUCUCACUCCUCACUGCUCUCACUCCUCACUGCUCUCACUCCUCACUGCUCUCUCUCCUCACUGCUCUCACUCCUCACUGCUCUCUCUCCGCACUGCUCUCCUCACUGCUCUCUCUCCUCACUGCUCUCACUCCUCACUGCUCUCUCUCUGCACUGCUCUCUCUCCUCACUGCUCUCACUCCUCACUGCUCUCUCUCCUCACUGCUCUCACUCCUCACUGCUCUCACUCCUCACUGCUCUCUCUCUCCUCACUGCUCUCUAUCUCCUCACUGCUCUCACCCCACACUGCUCUCACUCCUCACUGCUCUCUCUCCUCACUGCUCUCACUCCACACUGCUCUCUCACUCCUCACUGCUCUCUCUCUCCUCACUGCUCUCUAUCUCCUCACUGCUCUCUCUCCUCACUGCUCUCACUCCUCACUGCUCUCUCACUCCUCACUGCUCUCACUCCUCACUGCUCUCACUCCACACUGCUCUCACUCCUCACUGCUCUCUCACUCCUCACUGCUCUCACUCCUCACUGCUCUCACUCCACACUGCUCUCACUCCUCACUGCUCUCUCACUCCUCACUGCUCUCACACCUCACUGCUCUCUCUCCUCACUGCUCUCACUCCACACUGCUCUCACUCCUCACUGCUCUCACUCCUCACUGCUCUCACUCCACACUGCUCUCACUCCACACUGCUCUCACUCCUCACUGCUCUCUCUCCUCACUGCUCUCACUCCUCACUGCUCUCUCUCCUCACUGCUCUCACUCCACACUGCUCUCACUCCUCACUGCUCUCACUCCUCACUGCUCUCACUCCACACUGCUCUCACUCCUCACUGCUCUCACUCCUCACGCCCUCACUCCUCACUGCCCUCUCUCCUUACUGCUCUCACUCCUCACUGCUCUCUAUCUUGUCACUGCUCUCUCUCCUCACUGCUCUCUCUCCUCACUGCUCUCUCUCCACACUGCUCUCUCUCCGCACUGCUCUCCUCAGUGCUCUCUCCUCACUGCUCUCACUCCUCACUGCUCUCUCUCUGCACUGCUCUCUCUCCUCACUGCUCUCACUCCUCACUGCUCUCUCUCCUCACUGCUCUCACUCCUCACUGCUCUCACUCCUCACUGCUCUCUCUCCUCACUGCUCUCACUCCUCACUGCUCUCUCUCCUCACUGCUCUCUCUCCUCACUGCUCUCACUCCUCACUGCUCUCUCUCCUCACUGCUCUCACUCCUCACUGCUCUCUCUCCUCACUGCUCUCUCUCCUCACUGCUCUCUCUCCUCACUGCUCUCACUCCUCACUGCUCUCUCACUCCUCACUGCUCUCACUCCUCACUGCUCUCACUCCACACUGCUCUCACUCCUCACUGAUCUCACUCCUCACUGCUCUCACUCCUCACUGCCCUCUCUCCUUACUGCUCUCACUCCUCACUGCUCUCUAUCUUGUCACUGCUCUCACUCCACACUGCUCUCACUCCUCACUGCUCUCUCUCCUCACUGCUCUCACUCCUCACUGCUCUCUCUCCUCACUGCUCUCACUCCUCACUGCUCUCUCUCCUCACUGCUCUCUCUCCUCACUGCUCUCACUCCUCACUGCUCUCUCUCCUCACUGCUCUCACUCCUCACUGCUCUCUCUCCUCACUGCUCUCUCUCCUCACUGCUCUUUCUCCUCACUGCUCUCACUCCUCACUGCUCUCUCUCCUCACUGCUCUCUCUCCUCACUGCUCUCACUCCUCACUGCUCUCUCACUCCUCACUGCUCUCACUCCUCACUGCUCUCACUCCACACUGCUCUCACUCCUCACUGA
RNAcentral lists this long non-coding RNA (3456 nucleotides) under Callithrix jacchus (white-tufted-ear marmoset). Its description in RNAcentral is "lncRNA (ENSCJAG00000079862.1)". Lineage: Eukaryota; Metazoa; Chordata; Mammalia; Primates; Cebidae. The record is from RNAcentral.